CGACGUGGAUAACCUGCCUCAUACAGGGGGAUAACAGUUAGAAAUGACUGCUAAUACCGCAUAAGCGCACAGAGAUGCAUGUCUCGGUGUGAAAAGCUGAGGCGGUAUGAGAUGGAUCCGCGUCUGAUUAGCUGGUUGGCGGGGUAGAGGCCCACCAAGGCGACGAUCAGUAGCCGACCUGAGAGGGUGGCCGGCCACAUUGGGACUGAGACACGGCCCAAACUCCUACGGGAGGCAGCAG
This 241-nucleotide ribosomal RNA is filed under the name uncultured bacterium. RNAcentral describes it as "partial 16S ribosomal RNA". It matches the Rfam family "Bacterial small subunit ribosomal RNA", at positions 113 to 354 of the family's 1533-position model. The record is from RNAcentral.